This 82-nucleotide transfer RNA is filed under the name Candidatus Zixiibacteriota bacterium. RNAcentral's name for it is "tRNA-Leu". It matches the Rfam family "tRNA". From Rfam's summary of the family: Transfer RNA (tRNA) molecules are approximately 80 nucleotides in length. Their secondary structure includes four short double-helical elements and three loops (D, anti-codon, and T loops). Lineage: Bacteria; Pseudomonadati; Candidatus Zixiibacteriota. The record is from RNAcentral.
GCGAAAGUGGCGGAACUGGUAGACGCGCUGGAUUUAGGAUCCAGUGGCUUUGGCCGUAGGGGUUCAAAUCCCCUCUUUCGCA